This 407-nucleotide RNase P RNA is filed under the name Hyphomicrobiales bacterium. Its description in RNAcentral is "Rhizobiales bacterium (stromatolite metagenome) RNase P RNA component class A". It matches the Rfam family "Bacterial RNase P class A". From Rfam's summary of the family: Ribonuclease P (RNase P) is a ubiquitous endoribonuclease, found in archaea, bacteria and eukarya as well as chloroplasts and mitochondria. Its best characterised activity is the generation of mature 5'-ends of tRNAs by cleaving the 5'-leader elements of precursor-tRNAs. Lineage: Bacteria; Pseudomonadati; Pseudomonadota; Alphaproteobacteria; Hyphomicrobiales. The record is from RNAcentral.
UCAGGUGGCCGGAUGGCCGCUCCCGGGUGCGCCCCGGGGGAGGAAAGUCCGGGCUCCAUGGAGACACGGUGCCGGGUAACGCCCGGCGGGGGCGACCCCAGGGAAAGUGCCACAGAGAGCAGUCCGCCUCACCGCGCACCAGCCUUCGGGCUGGUCGCUGGGGUCAGGGUGAAAGGGUGCGGUAAGAGCGCACCGCGGGGCCGGCAACGGUCCCGGCAGGGCAAACCCCACCGGGAGCAAGACCAAGUAGGGACGACGGCCCUUUCGGGGGCAGGCCCGUUUCCAGGCCGGUCGUCCGGGUCGGUCGCGCGAGGUGCCCGGCGAUGGGCAUCCCAGAUGAAUGGCCAUCCAGCGGCCUGUUAUCCACAGGCUGUGGACAGAACCCGGCUUACAGGCCGCCUGAUCAU